Molecule: ribosomal RNA, 431 nt
Filed under: uncultured bacterium
Lineage: Bacteria
Description: partial 16S ribosomal RNA
Rfam family: Bacterial small subunit ribosomal RNA
Source: RNAcentral
AGCGAACGCUGGCGGCAGGCUUAACACAUGCAAGUCGAGCGCCCCGCAAGGGGAGCGGCAGACGGGAGAGUAACACGUGGGAACAUACCUUUUGGUUCGGAACAACUGAGGGAAACUUCAGCUACUACCGGAUAAGCCCUUACGGGGAAAGAUUUAUCUCCGAAAGAUUGGCCCGCGUCUGAUUAGCUAGUUUGUGAGGUAACGGCUCACCAAGGCGACGACCAGUAGCUGGUCUGAGAGGAUGAUCAGACACACUGGGACUGAGACACGGCACAGACUCCUACGGGAGGCAGCAGUGGGGAAUAGUGGACAAUGGGGGCAACGCUGAUGCAGCCAGGCCGCGUGAGUGAUGAAGGCCGUAGGGUUGUAAAGCGCUUGUGCCCGGGAAGAUAAUGACGGUACCGGGAGAAUAAGCCCCGGCUAACUUCGUG